This is a long non-coding RNA of Globicephala melas (long-finned pilot whale), 761 nucleotides long. RefSeq lists it as uncharacterized. The record is from RefSeq and is a predicted model, not a curated record. NCBI's taxonomy places the organism in Eukaryota, Metazoa, Chordata, Mammalia, Artiodactyla, Delphinidae.
UUCAGUGAAGUGCACUGCAGACAAGGCCCCCUCUGAUCCUGAUGUGUCAUCUCACAGGGAACGUGUGACAGACAGCGGCAAAGAAUAUUGAGAGUGGCUUACAAGCUGAAAAAAUAUUGGUGUACUACAGACAAUAAAACUCAAUGUGAGGAAACUAGACACAUAUGCAGAAAACAGGCUAAGAACCACACGGGUCUCUGAAACCAGAACAAAUGUCUCCAUCGACAAUGCCUGUAACAGAACCUGAAGGAGGAAACACCUACUUUGUGGGCUGCCAGAGAAGAGUCCACAUGGGAAGAAACUGAGGUUUCCAGCAAAGGGUAAUUAAGGACAAGAGCCAGUGAGUGGACAUGGCGGCAGGACUCCCUCCUGUUGAGCAUGAGGUGGCUGGUCAAUAUCACAACCAGAAAACUGACACUGUUAAAGUCAAGACACAGAACAUUUCCAUCACCUCAGGGAGGCUUCAUGUUGCCCUUUUGUUAGCUACGUCCACCGUUUUCCCACCCUUCCGUCUCCUCUUUUACCCUUGGCAGCCACAAAUAUUCUUUGUAUAAUUCUGUCAUUUAAGGAAUGUUAUAUAAACAGAAUCAAUGUAUACUGACUUGGGGAUUUGCUUUUUCACUCAGCAAGGAGAUUCACCCAUGUUGUUGUGUAUAUCAAUAGUCUUAUUUUUUUCUUUUGCUGAGUAGUAUUCCAUGAUAUGGCUGUAUCAUAGUUCAUUUAACGGUUCACCUAUUGGAGGACAUCUCAGUUGUUUCCAG